RNAcentral lists this ribosomal RNA (1435 nucleotides) under uncultured organism. RNAcentral describes it as "16S ribosomal RNA". It matches the Rfam family "Bacterial small subunit ribosomal RNA". The record is from RNAcentral.
UGUCGGCGUGCUUAACACAUGCAAGUCGAACGGAAAGGCCCUGCUUUUGUGGGGUGCUCGAGUGGCGAACGGGUGAGUAACACGUGAGUAACCUGCCCUUGACUUUGGGAUAACUUCAGGAAACUGGGGCUAAUACCGGAUAGGAGCUCCUGCUGCAUGGUGGGGGUUGGAAAGUUUCGGCGGUUGGGGAUGGACUCGCGGCUUAUCAGCUUGUUGGUGGGGUAGUGGCUUACCAAGGCUUUGACGGGUAGCCGGCCUGAGAGGGUGACCGGCCACAUUGGGACUGAGAUACGGCCCAGACUCCUACGGGAGGCAGCAGUGGGGAAUAUUGCACAAUGGGCGGAAGCCUGAUGCAGCAACGCCGCGUGCGGGAUGACGGCCUUCGGGUUGUAAACCGCUUUCGCCUGUGACGAAGCGUGAGUGACGGUAAUGGGUAAAGAAGCACCGGCUAACUACGUGCCAGCAGCCGCGGUGAUACGUAGGGUGCGAGCGUUGUCCGGAUUUAUUGGGCGUAAAGGGCUCGUAGGUGGUUGAUCGCGUCGGAAGUGUAAUCUUGGGGCUUAACCCUGAGCGUGCUUUCGAUACGGGUUGACUUGAGGAAGGUAGGGGAGAAUGGAAUUCCUGGUGGAGCGGUGGAAUGCGCAGAUAUCAGGAGGAACACCAGUGGCGAAGGCGGUUCUCUGGGCCUUUCCUGACGCUGAGGAGCGAAAGCGUGGGGAGCGAACAGGCUUAGAUACCCUGGUAGUCCACGCUGUAAACGGUGGGUACUAGGUGUGGGGUCCAUUCCACGGGUUCCGUGCCGUAGCUAACGCUUUAAGUACCCCGCCUGGGGAGUACGGCCGCAAGGCUAAAACUCAAAGGAAUUGACGGGGCCCCGCACAAGCGGCGGAGCAUGCGGAUUAAUUCGAUGCAACGCGUAGAACCUUACCUGGGUUUGACAUGGAUCGGGAGUGCUCAGAGAUGGGUGUGCCUCUUUUGGGGUCGGUUCACAGGUGGUGCAUGGCUGUCGUCAGCUCGUGUCGUGAGAUGUUGGGUUAAGUCCCGCAACGAGCGCAACCCUUGUUCACUGUUGCCAGCACGUUAUGGUGGGGACUCAGUGGAGACCGCCGGGGUCAACUCGGAGGAAGGUGGGGAUGACGUCAAGUCAUCAUGCCCCUUAUGUCCAGGGCUUCACGCAUGCUACAAUGGCUGGUACAGAGAGUGGCGAGCCUGUGAGGGUGAGCGAAUCUCGGAAAGCCGGUCUCAGUUCGGAUUGGGGUCUGCAACUCGACCUCAUGAAGUCGGAGUCGCUAGUAAUCGCAGAUCAGCAACGCUGCGGUGAAUACGUUCCCGGGGCUUGUACACACCGCCCGUCAAGUCAUGAAAGUUGGUAACACCCGAAGCCGGUGGCCUAACCGUUGUGGGGGAGCCGUCGAAGGUGGGACUGGUGAUUAGG